GAUGAACGCUAGCGAUAGGCUUAACGCAUGCAAGUCGAGGGGCAGCACAAGGUAGCUUGCUAUCUGGGUGGCGACCGGCGCACGGGUGCGUAACGCGUAUGCAACUUGCCCUAUACAGGAGGAUAACCCGUCGAAAGACGGACUAAUACUGCGUAUGCUCACAACUUGGCAUCAAGUGGUGAGGAAAGAAAUUCGGUAUAGGAUAGGCAUGCGUCCCAUUAGCUUGUUGGUGAGGUAACGGCUCACCAAGGCAACGAUGGGUAGGGGAACUGAGAGGUUUAUCCCCCACACUGGUACUGAGACACGGACCAGACUCCUACGGGAGGCAGCAGUGAGGAAUAUUGGUCAAUGGGCGCGAGCCUGAACCAGCCAAGUCGCGUGAAGGAUGACUGUCUUAUGGAUUGUAAACUUCUUUUAUACGGGAAUAACAAGAGUCACGUGUGACUCCCUGCAUGUACCGUAUGAAUAAGCAUCGGCUAACUCCGU
Molecule: ribosomal RNA, 486 nt
Filed under: uncultured bacterium
Lineage: Bacteria
Description: partial 16S ribosomal RNA
Rfam family: Bacterial small subunit ribosomal RNA
Source: RNAcentral